Molecule: long non-coding RNA, 593 nt
Filed under: Gallus gallus (chicken)
Lineage: Eukaryota; Metazoa; Chordata; Aves; Galliformes; Phasianidae
Source: RNAcentral
AAAAAAAGCUAGAGAUCCAUGUGUAUAAAUAUAAGUAGGAGUAUCAUUUUUGUUCCUUUUGCUUGGAUAUACAAUACAUACUGAGUAGUGAUAUGGUCGGCUGACUGCUGAAAGGCAUCCUUAAGGGUGCAAGAAUAAAGAUAUCAAUCAAUGUAGGUUUGCAACUGUAAACCUUCCUGUAUGCCAAGGACGUGUCCAGGUGCCAGGCAAAGAGGACCUUCUGUUACACUGAACAGGGGGAAGAUAAAACAUAUUCAACUCUAUUCUAGAGAAUCUUCUUGCUUCUGAAAAUUAUGUUGCUUUGUGGAAGUAGAAAUGACAAAUAAUUCUGGCUGCCUCUGCAGAGUGUUCUGACUUGUGAACAAACGACAACUGAACAAGGAGAUUUUGCCUAAUGCCAUUCCAACGCUCUCUAGCCAGCACAACCCGAUUUGCAGGCGCAGGAGCAAGCUGGUGUUUUACUCCGAUGCAGCCCUCUGUAAUAUGUGCGGAUCAAAUGUUCAUUAUUCAGGCAGAGGAAAUAUGACAUCUCAAUUAGGCAGGGAGUUGUUCGUGGUUGUGUGUAUGCUGUAUGGAGGUAAUGUGUUAGGCAG